This 59-nucleotide ribosomal RNA is filed under the name Ophiocordyceps nutans. Its description in RNAcentral is "partial 18S ribosomal RNA". Lineage: Eukaryota; Fungi; Ascomycota; Sordariomycetes; Hypocreales; Ophiocordycipitaceae. The record is from RNAcentral.
GAUGCUAGAAUAGGAGUCGGAACGAGGUCUCUGGUGGUGAACCAGCGGAGGGAUCAUUA